GACGAACGCUGGCGGCGGGCUUAACACAUGCAAGUCGAACGGAAAGGCCCUGCUUUUGUGGGGUGCUCGAGUGGCGAACGGGUGAGUAACACGUGAGUAACCUGCCCUUGACUUUGGGAUAACUUCAGGAAACUGGGGCUAAUACCGGAUAGGAGCUCCUGCUGCAUGGUGGGGGUUGGAAAGUUUCGGCGGUUGGGGAUGGACUCGCGGCUUAUCAGCUUGUUGGUGGGGUAGUGGCUUACCAAGGCUUUGACGGGUAGCCGGCCUGAGAGGGUGACCGGCCACAUUGGGACUAAGAUACGGCCCAGACUCCUACGGGAGGCAGCAGUGGGGAAUAUUGCACAAUGGGCGGAAGCCUGAUGCAGCAACGCCGCGUGCGGGAUGACGGCCUUCGGGUUGUAAACCGCUUUCGCCUGUGACGAAGCGUGAGUGACGGUAAUGGGUAAAGAAGCACCGGCUAACUACGUG
Molecule: ribosomal RNA, 468 nt
Filed under: uncultured bacterium
Lineage: Bacteria
Description: partial 16S ribosomal RNA
Rfam family: Bacterial small subunit ribosomal RNA
Source: RNAcentral